RNAcentral lists this ribosomal RNA (484 nucleotides) under uncultured bacterium. RNAcentral describes it as "bacterial SSU rRNA". It matches the Rfam family "Bacterial small subunit ribosomal RNA", at positions 28 to 507 of the family's 1533-position model. The record is from RNAcentral.
GAUGAACGCUAGCUACAGGCUUAACACAUGCAAGUCGAGGGGCAGCGCAGUGUAGCAAUACAUGGGCGGCGACCGGCGCACGGGUGCGUAACGCGUAUCCAACCUUCCCGUUACUCAGGGAUAGCCUUCCGAAAGGGAGAUUAAUACCUGAUGGUGUUCAAAUUCCGCAUGUUAUUUGAACUAAAGAUUUAUCGGUAACGGAUGGGGAUGCGUGACAUUAGAUAGUAGGCGGGGUAACGGCCCACCUAGUCUACGAUGUCUAGGGGUUCUGAGAGGAAGGUCCCCCANACUGGAACUGAGACACGGUCCAGACUCCUACGGGAGGCAGCAGUGAGGAAUAUUGGUCAAUGGUCGGAAGACUGAACCAGCCAAGUAGCGUGAAGGAUGAAGGUUCUAUGGAUUGAAACUUCUUUAUACGGGAAUAAAACCUCCACGUGUGGGAGCUUGUAUGUACCGUAUGAAUAAGCAUCGGCUAAACUCCGUG